RNAcentral lists this ribosomal RNA (484 nucleotides) under uncultured bacterium. Its description in RNAcentral is "partial 16S ribosomal RNA". It matches the Rfam family "Bacterial small subunit ribosomal RNA", at positions 29 to 507 of the family's 1533-position model. The record is from RNAcentral.
AGUGAACGCUGGCGGCAGGCCUAACACAUGCAAGUCGAGCGGCAGCGCGGGGGCAACCCUGGCGGCGAGCGGCGGACGGGUGAGGAAUUCGUCGGAAUCUGCCUUUUUGUGGAGGAUAACGUAGGGAAACUUACGCUAAUACCGCAUACGUCCUACGGGAGAAAGUGGGGGACCGCAAGGCCUCACGCAGAAAGAUGAGCCGACGACCGAUUAGCUAGUUGGUGGGGUAAAGGCCCACCAAGGCGACGAUCGGUAGCUGGUCUGAGAGGAUGAUCAGCCACACUGGGACUGAGACACGGCCCAGACUCCUACGGGAGGCAGCAGUGGGGAAUAUUGGACAAUGGGCGCAAGCCUGAUCCAGCCAUGCCGCGUGUGUGAAGAAGGCCUUCGGGUUGUAAAGCACUUUUGUCCGGAAAGAAAUCCCUGGAGCUAAUACCUUCGGGGGAUGACGGUACCGGAAGAAUAAGCACCGGCUAACUUCGUG